Molecule: ribosomal RNA, 592 nt
Filed under: uncultured bacterium
Lineage: Bacteria
Description: bacterial SSU rRNA
Rfam family: Bacterial small subunit ribosomal RNA (bases 1-514)
Source: RNAcentral
CCUACGGGAGGCAGCAGUGGGGAAGUAUUGGACAAUGGGCGAAAGCCUGAUCCAGCAAUGCCGCGUGAGUGAUGAAGGCCUUAGGGUUGUAAAGCUCUUUUACCCGGGAUGAUAAUGGCAGUACCGGGAGAAUAAGCUCCGGCUAACUCCGUGCCAGCAGCCGCGGUAAUACGGAGGGAGCUAGCGUUGUUCGGAAUUACUGGGCGUAAAGCGUACGUAGGCGGUUAUUCAAGUCAGAGGUGAAAGCCCGGGGCUCAACCCCGGAACGGCCUUUGAAACUAGGUAGCUAGAGUCUUGGAGAGGUUAGUGGAAUUCCGAGUGUAGAGGUGAAAUUCGUAGAUAUUCGGAAGAACACCAGUGGCGAAGGCGACUAACUGGUACAAGUACUGACGCUGAGGUACGAAAGCGUGGGGAGCAAACAGGAUUAGAUACCCUGGUAGUCCACGCCGUAAACGAUGAUAACUAGCUGUCCGGGCACUUGGUGCUUGGGUGGCGCAGCACACAUAUUAUCGUCCUCGGUGGUAGGUCGCGAGAAUAAACUUAAAUAAGUAAGUAGUAGCGNGAGAGNGUCGACGACGACACGAGGAGGAGG